RNAcentral lists this ribosomal RNA (301 nucleotides) under uncultured bacterium. Its description in RNAcentral is "partial 16S ribosomal RNA". It matches the Rfam family "Bacterial small subunit ribosomal RNA", at positions 509 to 807 of the family's 1533-position model. The record is from RNAcentral.
CAGCAGCCGCGGGAAUACGGAGGGGGCUAGCGUUGUUCGGAAUUACUGGGCGUAAAGCGUGCGCAGGCGGUUCGUUAAGACAGAUGUGAAAUCCCCGGGCUUAACCUGGGAACUGCAUUUGUGACUGGCGAGCUAGAGUAUGGCAGAGGGGGGUAGAAUUCCACGUGUAGCAGUGAAAUGCGUAGAUAUUGGGAAGAACACCGGUGGCGAAGGCGGCAACCUGGUCCUUGACUGACGCUGAGGCGCGAAAGCGUGGGGAGCAAACAGGAUUAGAUACCCGCGUAGUCCCUGUCUCUUAUAC